This 79-nucleotide microRNA precursor is filed under the name Medicago truncatula (barrel medic). Its description in RNAcentral is "MIR5269 microRNA precursor family". It matches the Rfam family "MIR5269 microRNA precursor family". Lineage: Eukaryota; Viridiplantae; Streptophyta; Magnoliopsida; Fabales; Fabaceae. The record is from Rfam by way of RNAcentral.
UUGGAUUAAAUCAUUAUAAGUCUACAUUUUGAAAAUUGAAGUUACACAAAGUAGUGGGACAUACAUUGAUUUUAUCUAA